UGCAACUCGCCUGCAUGAAGUUGGAAUUGCUAGUAAUCGCGAAUCAGCAUGCCGCGGUGAAUACGUUCCCGGGCCUUGUACACACCGCCCGUCAAACCAUGAGAGUUGGCAACACCCGAAGUCGGUAGUCUAACCGCAAGGAGGACGUCGCCGAAGGUGGGGUUGAUGAUUAGGGUUAAGUCGUAACAAGGUACC
Molecule: ribosomal RNA, 195 nt
Filed under: uncultured bacterium
Lineage: Bacteria
Description: partial 16S ribosomal RNA
Rfam family: Bacterial small subunit ribosomal RNA
Source: RNAcentral